Molecule: small nucleolar RNA, 107 nt
Organism: Hibiscus syriacus
Lineage: Eukaryota; Viridiplantae; Streptophyta; Magnoliopsida; Malvales; Malvaceae
Source: RefSeq, a predicted model, not a curated record
AAACCAUGAUUUGAGCAUUUACGAAGCAAUCCUUUAUAUCGAUCCCAACAUUCAUACAUUGAUUCAUCAUCAUGUUGACGAAAAGAAGCAAUGGCAUUCCUUAGUUG